CCAGGAAUAGAUUUGUAUUCCUGGCACUUAUAGUAUCCCUUUAAGCUAGUUAUUUUGGGGACUGUAGUGUCUCUUUACAUUUAACAUGACUGCAAUGUUGCUUUGGAUUUUCUUCAAAUGACAUGGUCAUUCACCAAAAAAUAAAUACCUUAGCUGGUUCUUGUUUACAUCUACAGCGCUGCAGCAUAUUCUAGGGCUCUGUUCAGCAGAAAAUGGUUCCGGUUAGGGGCAGAUCCAGAACCUAAUCUUUGGAGGGGCACUCGUAGAUUUAAAGAGCAAUUCAGGCACAUUAACUACUACAGUACUAUGUAGUGGUUAUGGUGCCCUCCCAGGGUAAG
Non-coding RNA from Pelobates cultripes (western spadefoot toad), 338 nucleotides. The record is from the annotation of a GenBank genome assembly. NCBI's taxonomy places the organism in Eukaryota, Metazoa, Chordata, Amphibia, Anura, Pelobatidae.